This 515-nucleotide long non-coding RNA is filed under the name Cyanistes caeruleus (blue tit). Its description in RNAcentral is "lncRNA (ENSCCEG00000010771.1)". Lineage: Eukaryota; Metazoa; Chordata; Aves; Passeriformes; Paridae. The record is from RNAcentral.
CAGCAGAGUCAUAUUCCAUCAGAGAAGUUGUCCUCAUAUAUUUCACAGUUGUAUCAAGCUUGGUUUCCUAAAUGAAGUUGCAAUCAAGAUAGAAAAUAAAUGAUGAAUGGAAAAUUAACUGCAGGAGAUCAAACAGGAAUCAGCAUGGGCACCUGGGGGUGUGGAGGAAAGCUUCAUUUUAAGGAGGGGAGUGCUGUUGCAGGCUGGAUUGCUGCUGUCCCCUGCCUGACUGCCUAAACCUGCAUAUCUCAAGUUUCCCAGGUCACAAGGUUAUUCAUAUUUGCUUCCAUUAUAGCCUCUGCUACGGCACUAAUGCAUCACUCCUUUUGUGUUUGCCAGGAGGAAACACAUGGCAUUAGUCUGCCUGCAGUCUACACAGACAAGGACCAUCUGUGUUUGGUCACUGAGGAACUUGGCACGUCCCAGGCAGCUGCAGAGGCUGGGAGCCAUGGCCCAGAGAUGAUAUGAACCUCUUCACUCUGAUACAGCAACAUGAUCCACUGAGGUAAGAGCCA